RNAcentral lists this ribosomal RNA (547 nucleotides) under Shigella flexneri. RNAcentral describes it as "bacterial SSU rRNA". It matches the Rfam family "Bacterial small subunit ribosomal RNA", at positions 640 to 1187 of the family's 1533-position model. The record is from RNAcentral. Lineage: Bacteria; Pseudomonadati; Pseudomonadota; Gammaproteobacteria; Enterobacterales; Enterobacteriaceae.
GCUUGAGUCUCGUAGAGGGGGGUAGAAUUCCAGGUGUAGCGGUGAAAUGCGUAGAGAUCUGGAGGAAUACCGGUGGCGAAGGCGGCCCCCUGGACGAAGACUGACGCUCAGGUGCGAAAGCGUGGGGAGCAAACAGGAUUAGAUACCCUGGUAGUCCACGCCGUAAACGAUGUCGACUUGGAGGUUGUGCCCUUGAGGCGUGGCUUCCGGAGCUAACGCGUUAAGUCGACCGCCUGGGGAGUACGGCCGCAAGGUUAAAACUCAAAUGAAUUGACGGGGGCCCGCACAAGCGGUGGAGCAUGUGGUUUAAUUCGAUGCAACGCGAAGAACCUUACCUGGUCUUGACAUCCACGGAAGUUUUCAGAGAUGAGAAUGUGCCUUCGGGAACCGUGAGACAGGUGCUGCAUGGCUGUCGUCAGCUCGUGUUGUGAAAUGUUGGGUUAAGUCCCGCAACGAGCGCAACCCUUAUCCUUUGUUGCCAGCGGUCCGGCCGGGAACUCAAAGGAGACUGCCAGUGAUAAACUGGAGGAAGGUGGGGAUGACGUCA